UGAGGGAUAUUGGUCAAUGGGGGAAACCCUGAACCAGCAAUGCCGCGUGAGGGAAGACGGUUUUCGGAUUGUAAACCUCUGUCCUCUGUGAAGAUAAUGACGGUAGCAGAGGAGGAAGCUCCGGCUAACUACGUGCCAGCAGCCGCGGUAAUACGUAGGGAGCGAGCGUUGUCCGGAAUUACUGGGUGUAAAGGGAGCGUAGGCGGGAAGGUAAGUUAGUGGUUAAAUCGUUCGGCUCAACCGGAUGUUGCCAUUAAAACUGCGGAGCUAGAGUACAGAUGAGGCAGGCGGAAUAAGUUAAGUAGCGGUGAAAUGCAUAGAUAUAACUUAGAACUCCGAUAGCGAAGGCAGCUUACCAAGCUGUAACUGACGCUGAUGCACGAGAGCGUGGGUAGCGAACA
RNAcentral lists this ribosomal RNA (401 nucleotides) under uncultured bacterium. RNAcentral's name for it is "bacterial SSU rRNA". It matches the Rfam family "Bacterial small subunit ribosomal RNA", at positions 355 to 774 of the family's 1533-position model. The record is from RNAcentral.